CCGGGCGCACGGGUGAGUAACACGUAUCCAACCUGCCGAUAACUCGGGGAUAGCCUUUCGAAAGAAAGAUUAAUACAAGAUGGCAUCAUGAGUCCGCAUGUUCACAUGAUUAAAGGUAUUCCGGUAGACGAUGGGGAUGCGUUCCAUUAGAUAGUAGGCGGGGUAACGGCCCACCUAGUCUUCGAUGGAUAGGGGUUCUGAGAGGAAGGUCCCCCACAUUGGAACUGAGACACGGUCCAA
This 240-nucleotide ribosomal RNA is filed under the name uncultured bacterium. Its description in RNAcentral is "partial 16S ribosomal RNA". It matches the Rfam family "Bacterial small subunit ribosomal RNA", at positions 94 to 334 of the family's 1533-position model. The record is from RNAcentral.